UACAGAGGUCUCAAGCGUUGUUCGGAUUCAUUGGGCGUAAAGGGUGCGUAGGCGGCGCGGUAAGUCGGGUGUGAAAUCUCGGGGCUUAACUCCGAAACUGCAUUCGAUACUGCCGUGCUUGAGGACUGGAGAGGAGACUGGAAUUUACGGUGUAGCGGUGAAAUGCGUAGAUAUCGUAAGGAAGACCAGUGGCGAAGGCGGGUCUCUGGACAGUUCCUGACGCUGAGGCCCGAAGGCUAGGGGAGCAAACGGG
Molecule: ribosomal RNA, 253 nt
Filed under: uncultured bacterium
Lineage: Bacteria
Description: partial 16S ribosomal RNA
Rfam family: Bacterial small subunit ribosomal RNA
Source: RNAcentral